Molecule: ribosomal RNA, 496 nt
Filed under: uncultured bacterium
Lineage: Bacteria
Description: partial 16S ribosomal RNA
Rfam family: Bacterial small subunit ribosomal RNA
Source: RNAcentral
GAUGAACGCUGGCGGCGUGCCUAAUACAUGCAAGUCGAGCGAACGGACGAGAAUCUUUCUUCUCUUAUGUUAGCGGCGGACGGGUGAUUAACACGUGGAUAACCGACCUAUAAGGCUGGGAUAACUUCGGGAAACCUGAUCUAAUACCGGAUAAUAGUUUGAACCUCAUGGUUCAAAAGUGAAAGACGUUCUUGCUGUGACUUAUAGAUGGAUCCGCGCUGCAUUAGCUAGUUGGUAAGGAAACGGCUUACCAAGGCAACGAUGCAUAGCCGACCUGCGAGGGUGAUCGGCACACCUGAACUGAAGCAACGGCCCAGACUCCUAGGGGAGGCAGCAGUAGGAAAUCUUGAGAAAUGGGCGAAAGCUUGACGAAGCAAGGCCGCGGGAGUAAUGAAGGUCUCCGGAUCGUAAACACCUGUUAUUAGGAAAGAACAUAUGUGUAAGAAACUGUGCAGAUUUUGACGGAACAUCAUAAGAAAGCCACGGCUACCUCCUG